This 369-nucleotide ribosomal RNA is filed under the name uncultured bacterium. RNAcentral's name for it is "partial 16S ribosomal RNA". The record is from RNAcentral.
CCCCUUACUCCCCUUGGUCGUUGGCCUUCCGUCCCGACCCCACGAACCUAGGAACUAGGGAGUUUAACACGUUAACCCGUUCGGGUAACGUUCCAUGGACCUUUAGGGUUAAACCGGUUACGGGACCGACGUUAGGGUGGGGUUCGGGGGUUUCCCGGUUUUUCCCGGGGUUCCCCCCGUUACCCCGUUUAGGUCGUCGUCGACGACGUAACGUACGACUAAGUACGACUACCGCCUCGGAGGGUACGGCCGGCCACGAGUCGAACUACAAGAAAGUAGUACGGGACGGGGCCCGCACAAGCGGUGGAGCAUGUGGUUUAAUUCGAAGCAACGCGAACGUAACCUUACCAGGUUCUUGACACUCCCGCU